Molecule: ribosomal RNA, 198 nt
Filed under: uncultured bacterium
Lineage: Bacteria
Description: partial 16S ribosomal RNA
Rfam family: Bacterial small subunit ribosomal RNA
Source: RNAcentral
ACGCUCGACACCUACUGGAGGCAGCAGUGAGGGAUAUUGGUCAAUGGGGGAAACCCUGAACCAGCAACGCCGCGUGAGGGAUGACGGUCUUCGGAUUGUAAACCUCUGUCCUCUGUGAAGAUAAUGACGGUAGCAGAGGAGGAAGCUCCGGCUAACUACGUGCUAGCAGCCGCGGUAAUCUGAGCGGGCUGGCAAGGC